GUCCACGCCCUAAACGAUGUCAACUAGUUGUCGGGAGGGAGACCUCUUUGGUAACGCAGCUAACGCGCGAAGUUGACCGCCUGGGGAGUACGGUCGCAAGAUUAAAACUCAAAGGAAUUGACGGGGACCCGCACAAGCGGUGGAUGAUGUGGAUUAAUUCGAUGCAACGCGAAAACCUUAACCUACCCUUGACAUGCCUGGAAACUUGGUAGAGAUACCUUGGUGCCCGAAAGGGAGCCAGGACACAGGUGCUGCAUGGCUGUCGU
Molecule: ribosomal RNA, 266 nt
Filed under: uncultured bacterium
Lineage: Bacteria
Description: partial 16S ribosomal RNA
Rfam family: Bacterial small subunit ribosomal RNA
Source: RNAcentral